This 24-nucleotide non-coding RNA is filed under the name Arabidopsis thaliana (thale cress). The record is from RNAcentral. Lineage: Eukaryota; Viridiplantae; Streptophyta; Magnoliopsida; Brassicales; Brassicaceae.
AUCCACUCGACCAAUCACUCUACC